Molecule: ribosomal RNA, 505 nt
Filed under: uncultured Glomus
Lineage: Eukaryota; Fungi; Glomeromycota; Glomeromycetes; Glomerales; Glomeraceae
Description: SSU rRNA
Rfam family: Eukaryotic small subunit ribosomal RNA
Source: RNAcentral
AGCAGCCGCGGUAAUUCCAGCUCCAAUAGCGUAUAUUAAAGUUGUUGCAGUUAAAAAGCUCGUAGUUGAAUUUCGGGAUCAAUUUAUUGGUCGUGCAAUAGUACGUACUGGUAUUAUUGGUUCCUACCUUCUGAUGAACCAUGAUGUCAUUAAUUUGGUGUUAUGGGGAAUCAGGACUGUUACUUUGAAAAAAUUAGAGUGUUUAAAGCAGGCUCACGCUUGAAUACAUUAGCAUGGAAUAAUGAAAUAGGACGUUUGAUUCUAUUUUGUUGGUUUUCUAGGAUCGACGUAAUGAUUAAUAGGGAUAGUUGGGGGGCAUUAGUAUUCAAUUGUCAGAGGUGAAAUUCUUGGAUUUAUUGAAGACUAACUACUGCGAAAGCAUUUGCCAAGGAUGUUUUCAUUAAUCAAGAACGAAAGUUAGGGGAUCGAAGACGAUCAGAUACCGUCGUAGUCUUAACCAUAAACUAUGCCGACUAGGGAUCGGAUGAUGUUAAUUUUUAAUGUA